AGUAACGCGUGAGUAACCUGCCUCUAAGAGGGGAAUAACAUUCUGAAAAGAAUGCUAAUACCGCAUAACAUAUAUUUAUCGCAUGGUAGAUAUAUCAAAGAUUUAUCGCUUAGAGAUGGACUCGCGUCCGAUUAGUUAGUUGGUGAGGUAACGGCCCACCAAGGCGACGAUCAGUAGCCGGACUGAGAGGUUGACCGGCCACAUUGGGACUGAGAUACGGCCCAG
This 225-nucleotide ribosomal RNA is filed under the name uncultured bacterium. RNAcentral describes it as "partial 16S ribosomal RNA". It matches the Rfam family "Bacterial small subunit ribosomal RNA", at positions 109 to 334 of the family's 1533-position model. The record is from RNAcentral.